Molecule: ribosomal RNA, 253 nt
Filed under: uncultured bacterium
Lineage: Bacteria
Also listed under: 1 other name
Description: partial 16S ribosomal RNA
Rfam family: Bacterial small subunit ribosomal RNA
Source: RNAcentral
UACGGAGGGUGCAAGCGUUAUCCGGAUUCACUGGGUUUAAAGGGUGCGUAGGCGGAUUAUUAAGUCAGUGGUGAAAGCCUGCAGCUUAACUGCAGAACUGCCAUUGAUACUGAUGAUCUUGAGUAUGAUUGAGGUGGGCGGAAUGUGUCAUGUAGCGGUGAAAUGCUUAGAUAUGACACAGAACACCGAUUGCGAAGGCAGCUCACUAAGCCAUAACUGACGCUGAUGCACGAAAGCGUGGGGAGCAAACAGG